This 1355-nucleotide ribosomal RNA is filed under the name uncultured bacterium. RNAcentral describes it as "bacterial SSU rRNA". It matches the Rfam family "Bacterial small subunit ribosomal RNA", at positions 18 to 1393 of the family's 1533-position model. The record is from RNAcentral.
CCUGGCUCACGAUGAACGCUGGCGGCGCGCCUAACACAUGCAAGUCGAACGGAGCUUAGAGAGCUUGCUUUUUAAGCUUAGUGGCGAACGGGUGGGUAACGCGUGAGUAACCUGCCCUAGAGUGGGGGACAACAGUUGGAAACGACUGCUAAUACCGCAUAAGCCCACGGUACCGCAUGGUACUGAGGGAAAAGGAUUUAUUCGCUUUAGGAUGGACUCGCGUCCAAUUAGCUAGUUGGUGAGGUAACGGCCCACCAAGGCGACGAUUGGUAGCCGGACUGAGAGGUUGAACGGCCACAUUGGGACUGAGACACGGCCCAGACUCCUACGGGAGGCAGCAGUGGGGGAUAUUGCACAAUGGGGGAAACCCUGAUGCAGCGACGCCGCGUGGAGGAAGAAGGUUUUCGGAUUGUAAACUCCUGUCGUUAGGGACGAUAAUGACGGUACCCAACAAGAAAGCACCGGCUAACUACGUGCCAGCAGCCGCGGUAAAACGUAGGGUGCAAGCGUUGUCCGGAAUUACUGGGUGUAAAGGGAGCGCAGGCGGAAGACAAGUUGGAAGUGAAAACCAUGGGCUCAACCCAUGAAUUGCUUUCAAAACUGUUUUUCUUGAGUAGUGCAGAGGUAGAUGGAAUUCCCGGUGUAGCGGUGGAAUGCGUAGAUAUCGGGAGGACCACCAGUGGCGAAGGCGGUCUACCGGGCACCAACUGACGCUGAGGCUCGAAAGCAUGGGUAGCAAACAGGAUUAGAUACCCUGGUAGUCCAUGCCGUAAACGAUGAUUACUAGGUGUUGGGGGAUUGACCCCCUCAGUGCCGCAGUUAACACAAUAAGUAAUCCACCUGGGGAGUACGACCGCAAGGUUGAAACUCAAAGGAAUUGACGGGGGCCCGCACAAGCAGUGGAGUAUGUGGUUUAAUUCGAAGCAACGCGAAGAACCUUACCAGGUCUUGACAUCCGAUGCAUAACACAGAGAUGUGUGAAAUCCUUCGGGACAUCGAGACAGGUGGUGCAUGGUUGUCGUCAGCUCGUGUCGUGAGAUGUUGGGUUAAGUCCCGCAACGAGCGCAACCCUUAUUGCCAGUUACUACGUUAAGAGGACUCUGGCGAGACUGCCGUUGACAAAACGGAGGAAGGUGGGGAUGACGUCAAAUCAUCAUGCCCUUUAUGACCUGGGCUACACACGUACUACAAUGGCGUUAAACAAAGAGAAGCAAGACCGCGAGGUGGAGCAAAACUCAAAAACAACGUCUCAGUUCAGAUUGCAGGCUGCAACUCGCCUGCAUGAAGUCGGAAUUGCUAGUAAUCGCGGAUCAGCAUGCCGCGGUGAAUACGUUCCCGGGCCUUGUACACACCGC